Molecule: ribosomal RNA, 600 nt
Filed under: Mesorhizobium opportunistum
Lineage: Bacteria; Pseudomonadati; Pseudomonadota; Alphaproteobacteria; Hyphomicrobiales; Phyllobacteriaceae
Description: bacterial SSU rRNA
Rfam family: Bacterial small subunit ribosomal RNA
Source: RNAcentral
AGUUUGAUCCUGGCUCAGAACGAACGCUGGCGGCAGGCUUAACACAUGCAAGUCGAGCGCCCCGCAAGGGGAGCGGCAGACGGGUGAGUAACGCGUGGGAAUCUACCCAUCUCUACGGAACAACUCCGGGAAACUGGAGCUAAUACCGUAUACGUCCUUACGGAGAAAGAUUUAUCGGAGAUGGAUGAGCCCGCGUUGGAUUAGCUAGUUGGUGGGGUAAUGGCCUACCAAGGCGACGAUCCAUAGCUGGUCUGAGAGGAUGAUCAGCCACACUGGGACUGAGACACGGCCCAGACUCCUACGGGAGGCAGCAGUGGGGAAUAUUGGACAAUGGGCGCAAGCCUGAUCCAGCCAUGCCGCGUGAGUGAUGAAGGCCCUAGGGUUGUAAAGCUCUUUCAACGGUGAAGAUAAUGACGGUAACCGUAGAAGAAGCCCCGGCUAACUUCGUGCCAGCAGCCGCGGUAAUACGAAGGGGGCUAGCGUUGUUCGGAAUUACUGGGCGUAAAGCGCACGUAGGCGGAUACUUAAGUCAGGGGUGAAAUCCCGGGGCUCAACCCCGGAACUGCCUUUGAUACUGGGUAUCUCGAGUCCGGAAGAGGU